GGAACCCAGGCAGUAGCAUCGUUUCACAAUGUUUCCAUCAUCAUCAUCAGUGGAUGCCUUUGCCGUCCGUAGCCUGAGAUUUCAGAUUUGCAGCAAAAAAAAUUUGAUUUUCUCAUUUAUUGGAAUGCUGUGCAGGUUGAACCUUGCAGCCAUCCAUUACAAUGUCACCAAGCCGUAACAAAAGCAGGAGAGGGAAAGUACAAGGCUUUGUUCCCAAAACACACAAGUGACAUACCUUAUGUGGAUGAUGUGAUCAGGCUUGUGUUUGAUGAGGUAUUUGAAGAUAAGCUGAAGGAAACCCCGAUUCCAAUGGACCUGGCAUCACAGUUUGAGAGACCUUCAAAGGAGGACGUGAUUGCAUGCCAUCUUCAGUG
This is a long non-coding RNA of Paramisgurnus dabryanus, 374 nucleotides long. RefSeq lists it as uncharacterized. NCBI's taxonomy places the organism in Eukaryota, Metazoa, Chordata, Actinopteri, Cypriniformes, Cobitidae. The record is from RefSeq and is a predicted model, not a curated record.